RNAcentral lists this transfer RNA (72 nucleotides) under Pelodiscus sinensis (Chinese soft-shelled turtle). It matches the Rfam family "tRNA". From Rfam's summary of the family: Transfer RNA (tRNA) molecules are approximately 80 nucleotides in length. Their secondary structure includes four short double-helical elements and three loops (D, anti-codon, and T loops). Lineage: Eukaryota; Metazoa; Chordata; Testudines; Trionychidae. The record is from Rfam by way of RNAcentral.
UCACUGGUGGUCUAUUGUCUAGGAUUCAGCACUUUUACAGCUGUGGCCUGGGUUCGAUUCCCAGUCAGGGAA